GAAAGCGAUGCUAAUACCGGAUAAUAUCUUUUGUACCCAGGUACUUAAGAUCAAAGGUGGCCUCUACAUGUAAGCUACUGUUUGGGGAUGAGCCCGCGUACCAUUAGCUUGUUGGUAGGGUAACGGCCUACCAAGGCUGCGAUGGUUAGCUGGUCUGAGAGGAUGAUCAGCCACACUGGAACUGACACACGGUCCAGACUCCUACGGGAGGCAGCAGUGAGGAAUUUUGCGCAAUGGGGGAAACCCUGACGCAGCAACGCCGCGUGAGUGAUGAAGGCUUUCGGGUCGUAAAGCUCUGUCAAGUGGGAAGAACCCACAUGGUGCUAAUAUCACCAUGUGCUGACGGUACCACUGAAGGAAGCACCGGCUAACUCCGUGCCAGCAGCCGCGGUAAUACGGGGGGUGCAAGCGUUAUUCGGAAUUACUGGGCGUAAAGAGCGCGUAGGCGGUCUCUUAAGUCGGAUGUGAAAGCCCGGGGCUUAACCCCGGAAGUGCAUUCGAAACUAAGGGACUUGAGUAUGGGAGAGGGAAGUGGAAUUCCUGGUGUAGCGGUGAAAUGCGUAGAUAUCAGGAGGAACACCGGUG
This 585-nucleotide ribosomal RNA is filed under the name uncultured bacterium. RNAcentral describes it as "bacterial SSU rRNA". It matches the Rfam family "Bacterial small subunit ribosomal RNA", at positions 153 to 714 of the family's 1533-position model. The record is from RNAcentral.